This 465-nucleotide ribosomal RNA is filed under the name Vreelandella stevensii. Its description in RNAcentral is "partial 16S ribosomal RNA". It matches the Rfam family "Bacterial small subunit ribosomal RNA", at positions 338 to 795 of the family's 1533-position model. The record is from RNAcentral. Lineage: Bacteria; Pseudomonadati; Pseudomonadota; Gammaproteobacteria; Oceanospirillales; Halomonadaceae.
CCUACGGGGGGCAGCAGUGGGGAAUAUUGGACAAUGGGGGCAACCCUGAUCCAGCCAUGCCGCAUGUGUGAAGAAGGCCCUCGGGUUGUAAAGCACUUUCAGUGAGGAAGAACGCCUGGUGGUUAAUACCCAUCAGGAAAGACAUCACUCACAGAAGAAGCACCGGCUAACUCCGUGCCAGCAGCCGCGGUAAUACGGAGGGUGCGAGCGUUAAUCGGAAUUACUGGGCGUAAAGCGCGCGUAGGUGGCUUGAUAAGCCGGUUGUGAAAGCCCCGGGCUCAACCUGGGAACGGCAUCCGGAACUGUCAAGCUAGAGUGCAGGAGAGGAAGGUAGAAUUCCCGGUGUAGCGGUGAAAUGCGUAGAGAUCGGGAGGAAUACCAGUGGCGAAGGCGGCCUUCUGGACUGACACUGACACUGAGGUGCGAAAGCGUGGGUAGCAAACAGGAUUAGAUACCCGUGUAGUC